ACUACAUUUUCCAGACUGCAUCAGCAUCCGUCCCUGUCCCUAAACUACAUUUUCCAAACUGCAUCAGCAUCAGUCCCUGCCCUAAACUACAUUUCCCAGACUUCAUCAGUCCCUGCCCUAAACUACAUUUCCCAGACUGCAUCAUCAGUCCCUACCCUAAACUACAUUUCCCAGACUGCAUCAGCAUCAGUCCCUGCCCUAAUCUACAUUUUCCAGACUGCAUCAGCAUCAGUCCUUGCCCUAAACUACAUUUUCCAGACUGCAUCACUCCCUGCCCUAAACUACAUUUUCCAGACUGCAUCACUCCCUGCCCUAAACUACAUUUUCCAGACUACAUCAGUCCCUGCCCUAAACUACAUUUCCCAGACUGCAUCAGCAUCAGUCCCUACCCCUAAACUACAUUUCCCAGACUGCAUCAGCAUCAGUCCCGGCCCUAUACAUUUCCUAGACUGCAUCAGUGUCAGUCCCUGCCCUAAACUACAUUUUCCAGACUGCAUCAGUGUCCGUCCCUGCCCUAAACUAUAUUUUCCAGAGUGCAUCAGCGUCAGUCCCUGCCCUAAACUACAUUUUCCAGAGUGCAUCCGUGUCAGUCCCUGCCCUAAACUACAUUUUCCAGACUGCAUCAGCGUCAGUCCCUGCCCUAAAUUACAUUUUCCAGACUGCACCAGGAUAGCAGGGAGAGAGGUCUGACCUUCCAUAAAACUUUGAAAAUUCGCCAAAAAUUAGUAGAUAAGUGAAAUAUUCUGGAAUUUGGUGAACUAACAGUGACAAAUAUCUUCUACCAUUGUAGCAAGUUUCACCCCAAUAGCUAGAAAAAUGAGGGAGUUAGGAGCCCUUGAAGUAUGAGGUAUGGAGAACAAAACAUAUGAGGUGAAGUUCACCUGUUGAUCUUGGUGAAGAGAAGAUUGAGGGGUGACAUGAUCACACUCUUUAAAUAUCUCAUGAGCUGCCACAAAGUGACAUAUAGAAUUGGAUCUAACAGCUUAAAAUUGCAGGAGAGAGGGAUUUUGAUUGAACAUUCAAAGUAAGUUCUUGACAGUGAAAGUAGUUUGACAUUGGAGUCAAUUGCUUAGAGAGGUGGGAUCUCCAUUGGAUGAGAGCUACCCGAUUCAGUCUGAUGCUUAAGUAUUUGAUGUAUAAUUCUUCAAAGAUCUAGAUCAGCUUCAGUCUGUUUCCAUUUCUCGAGCAAUCUUUAAACAAUCAGUCAAACAAACCUCAAAUACUUUCCCAUCACAAAUAUUAUGAGAUAUGCCAGUUUCUGUAAUUUCAUAUCAAGAAUGAACUGAACCAAAUUCUCAGCAAUUUCCAGGUCAAAGAUGUACACACAAAAACACAUAUUAAAUCAUAUUUAAGUGAUUCUGUCUAGAUCAAAACACAGAUGGAAUGGCUUUUUAGGGACUGAAAUGAGUAAAGAAUUGACAUCUCCACACUGUGAUAAAAACCUAAAUAGCUCUGCAUUCUCGAGCAAAAUAAUCAGUUCUGAAUCGAUCAGAAAAUUAAGUCUUAUACUUUCCAGAUUUUCAGUAUUAUUAGAAUAAUCUGUUCUAUUUUUUUUAUUGAAUCAGUCUAUUUUUUUCCAUGUUGUUGUUUUAUAGUUCUAUGGACAUGGACACCAGUCUUGUUGUUAUUCUUAUUGUUGUUGUUUUAGUUGUAGCUGUUAUUUUCAUUCGUUUUGGGCUAACUUCUUUUUGCUCCAUUGGGAGGGCAAUUUGGAGCUCGCCUGCCAUUUUUCUGUUCCCUGCACUGCACCUGACACUUUUACACCUCAUUUGUGCAAACAGAUUCUUCCCCGAGGGCUGCUUUUUAAAUAUUCAGGGCUGCUAGUCAUAUCUUUACUUAAUAUAUGGGAUUUGACAUUUACACUGCACUGCACACAUCCUUGGCUUCUCACCUGGAUUUGUCAUGUAGUAUCUUAUUGGCUGUGUGUCAUUAUUGUUGCUCUCUGUCUAGAUCAACAAUAUACUAAAGGAUAUAUUACAGGGAUGGACUAAAGCAUGCUAGUAUUUCCUUAGGCUGAGCAAAGCAGAGCAAUACAUGUAUUUGUAUCUACUUUUCAAAGAAAAUGAGGAGACACUCCAUUGGUUAAGAGUAGCGUAAAGUUUCCUCUUUAGAUAAUUUUGCAAUAGGCACAUUCCUUGAAGGCUGGCUCAAACCAUGAACAAAAUGUGAAGUGAGAAAGCAAUACAUAAGGCUGAUAUAUAUAUAUAUAUAUAUAUAUAUAUAUAUAUAUAUAGAUGUGGGCGCAGUG
This 2248-nucleotide long non-coding RNA is filed under the name Anolis carolinensis (green anole). RNAcentral describes it as "lncRNA (ENSACAG00000040399.1)". Lineage: Eukaryota; Metazoa; Chordata; Lepidosauria; Squamata; Anolidae. The record is from RNAcentral.